Molecule: ribosomal RNA, 482 nt
Filed under: uncultured bacterium
Lineage: Bacteria
Description: partial 16S ribosomal RNA
Rfam family: Bacterial small subunit ribosomal RNA
Source: RNAcentral
AUUGAACGCUGGCGGCAUGCCUUACACAUGCCAGUCGAACGGUAACAGGUCUUCGGAUGCUGACGAGUGGCGAACGGGUGAGUAAUACAUCGGAACGUGCCCGAUCGUGGGGGAUAACGAGGCGAAAGCUUUGCUAAUACCGCAUACGAUCUACGGAUGAAAGCGGGGGAUCUUCGGACCUCGCGCGGACGGAGCGGCCGAUGGCAGAUUAGGUAGUUGGUGGGAUAAAAGCUUACCAAGCCGACGAUCUGUAGCUGGUCUGAGAGGAUGAUCAGCCACACUGGGACUGAGACACGGCCCAGACUCCUACGGGAGGCAGCAGUGGGGAAUUUUGGGCAAUGGGCGAAAGCCUGAUCCAGCCAUGCCGCGUGCAGGAUGAAGGCCUUCGGGUUGUAAACUGCUUUUGUACGGAACGAAAAGCCUCUUUCUAAUAAAGAGGGGUCAUGACGGUACCGUAAGAAUAAGCACCGGCUAACUACGUG